Molecule: long non-coding RNA, 268 nt
Organism: Thalassophryne amazonica
Lineage: Eukaryota; Metazoa; Chordata; Actinopteri; Batrachoidiformes; Batrachoididae
Exons: 3
Source: RefSeq, a predicted model, not a curated record
GUCUUUUUUUGUUGUUGUACACGCACGCACAAGUGCCGUGUGAACCAGGCUUAAGGGAAAUAAUGGCACUCCAAAUGAAAGAGUCCUGGGGCCAGGACACUUCAUGUUCCCGGAACUAAGAAGAACACAAAAGGGGUGCACUGGAUGCUGCAAACAGCAGCUGGAGGCUGAAUUAAAGGAGCUGGAUAUAAAGGUUUUACCACCCUUCAAGAUGACAGAUGGAGAGGCCCACGGGAUGAACUCAGUGGUGAAGACGAUGGAAUAUGGC